CGAACCCGCAGCGAGCUGGUUCUCCGCGAAAUACGUUGAGGCGUAGCGUCUCGUGCUCCAGCAGGGGGGUAAAGCCAUCAUUUCGGUGCGGGCUGCGAGAGCGGUACCAAAGCGAGAUGAACUCUGAAUACCCUGUGUGUAGCGAGGCAGUCAGACUGUGGGGGAUAAGCUCCGUCGUCAAGAGGGAAACAACCCAGACCGCCAGCUAAGGUCCCCAAAUCAACACUAAGUGAUAAAGGAGGUGGGAUUGCAUAGACAACCAGGAGGUUUGCCUAGAAGCAGCCAUCCUCAAAGGAGUGCGUAAUAGCUCACUGGUCGAGCGAUCCUGCGCCGAAAAUGAACGGGGCUAAGUGUUGUACCGAAGCUGCGGAUUUAUGGUAGGGGAGCGUUCUAUGUGGGGCGAAGCGUUAGCGUGAGCGGGCGUGGACUGCAUAGAAGUGAGAAUGUCGGCUUGAGUAGCGAAAACAUGGGUGAGAAUCCCAUGCACCGAAACCCUAAGGGUUCCUCCGGCAGGCUCGUCCGCGGAGGGUUAGUCUGGACCUAAGGCGAGGCCGAAAGGCGUAGUCGAUGGAUAACAGGUCAACAUUCCUGUACCGGUUAUGUUUUGGGAAGAGGGACGGAGAAGGCUAGCCAAGCCAGAUGUUGGUUACUGGUUCAAGCGUUCGAGGCGUUGAGGAGCGGUGAAAACGUUCCGAGCUGAGGCGUGAGUACGAGCUGCUACGGCAGCGAAGUUGGUGACGUCAUGCUUCCAAGAAAAGCUCUAUACCCGUUAAGGCAUAACUGCCAGUACCCGAAACCGACACAGGUGGGGUGGUAGAGAAUACCGAGGUGCGCGAGGUAACUCUCUCUAAGGAACUCGGCAAAAUGGCCCCGUAACUUCGGGAGAAGGGGUGCCGGAUUUAUCCGGCCGCAGCGACCAGGCCCAAGCGACUGUUUACCAAAAACACAGGUCUCCGCUAAAUCGAAAGAUGACGUAUGGGGGCUGACGCCUGCCCAGUGCCGGAAGGUUAAGGAAGCUGGUUAGGAUUACCGAAGCUAGCGACCGAAGCCCCGGUGAACGGCGGCCGUAACUAUAACGGUCCUAAGGUAGCGAAAUUCCUUGUCGGGUAAGUUCCGACCCGCACGAAUGGUGUAAUGAUUUGGAAGCUGUCUCAAGGAGGGACUCGGUGAAAUAGAAAUGCCUGUGAAGAUGCGGGCUACCUGUGCCAGGACAUUAAGACCCUAUGAAGCUUUACUGUAGCCUGAGAUUGGAUUUUGAUUUUAUUUGCGCAGAAUAGGUGGGAGGCUAUGAAGCUGGUCUUGUGGGAUCAGUGGAGUCAUCUUUGAAAUACCACUCUGAUAAAAUUGAAAUUCUAACUUUAUACCGUAAGCCGGUUAAAGAACAGUUUCAGGUGGGCAGUUUGACUGGGGCGGUCGCCUCCUAAAAGGUAACGGAGGCGCACAAAGGUUUCCUCAGAUCGGUCAGAAAUCGAUCUUAGAGUGUAAAGGCAAAAGGAAGCUUGACUGUGAGACAAACAAGUCGAGCAGAGACGAAAGUCGGUCUUAGUGAUCUGACGCUGCUGUGUGGAAAGGGCGUCACUCAACGGAUAAAAGUUACUCUAGGGAUAACAGGCUGAUCUCCCCCAAGAGUUCA
Molecule: ribosomal RNA, 1633 nt
Filed under: marine metagenome
Description: bacterial LSU rRNA
Rfam family: Bacterial large subunit ribosomal RNA
Source: RNAcentral